Molecule: long non-coding RNA, 1218 nt
Organism: Apis cerana (Asiatic honeybee)
Lineage: Eukaryota; Metazoa; Arthropoda; Insecta; Hymenoptera; Apidae
Source: RefSeq, a predicted model, not a curated record
UUUAACCCUUUUAGAGUUGUAUAAUAUUCACGAUUUCCGUUAGAAUUUGUGAACAAGUUAAAAUUUUUAUUGUGAGAUUUAAAUUUUUGAAUUGUUGAGGAUAAAGCGUAUAUCUUUGUUUUAAAUGAAAUAUAAUUUAUUUUUUUCUUUUCUGAUUAUAAUUUUUUUUGUGAUUUUUUGUAGAUAAAAGUUCUAAAAUUCGCGAUCUUUAUAAACUAUAAUUUUUUGCAGGAGAAAAAUAUUUUAAUUCUAAAAAAAUUAGUAAUUGAUAUAAACUAGCCAUUAUAUUAUAUACAUGAAUCUUAUAUUUUCCUUUCUAUCAAUACCAUGUAGGCGUUAUGUAAGAAACGUUUUCUAACGAAUAAUAUGAGUCACUAAGGAAAUCAAUAAAACAUAAUCUGUUGAAAAUUUAAAGAUCACAUAUGUUUAUCAACUUUAAUUAUUAUCUAAGUGUUCAUUUUUAACUUUAUUUUAUUAAAUUUUGAUUGAAUUUUAAUAAAUAGUCGUAAAUGUUAUUAUAAAAAUAAAAUGUUUUUGAAAUAUAUCUUUAAUUUAAUUAUAAUAAAAUUUUAUGUUAUUAAAUAUUAACGAUUUUUUAUUAUAUAUAAUUAUAAAAUUUUCGAAAUCAAAUGAUUGUCUAUGUGUCGUAACCAGGUUACGUUGCUACAGAACAUGGAGUAGGGUUCCAUGUGAUCACAAUCCGAUAUUGACUCGAGAGUAUUCGGAUAAGUCCGGAUUCAUUCGUUUUCAUUCGUUCAUAUACAACGUUGAAAUUCUUUGCAUUAUUCUUUGUUAUCGAAAUUUCAGGUCUUUUUAUAUAUUUUUCUAUUUUUCAUCUAUAUUCUUUUUAGUGUUGAAGUUAAUCAUUCACUUUAUCGACCACAUGAAAAUUGGUAUUUGUUAUACACGUGACAAUAAACGAGAAAUUCCAUUCUUUUGUUGAGAAUAGACUGAAGCAGUGAAUUAUAAAUACAUCAUUGUUAAAACAUCGUGAAAUAAAAGAUGGAAAAGUAUACAAUAGGUUAGAAACCAUGGAAUUGCAAAGGAUUAAGAAAUAUGAAAGUCAUCUUGAAGUUUUUAAAUAGCAUUUCAUAUUUUCUUUGUAGUGAGAUAAUAACUUCAAUUCUUCAGUAAAUUAGAACAUACAUGUUCAAAUAAAAUAGAAACUAUAUCAAAUAAAAUAGAUCAUUUGACUUCCAUAAUCAUGGCAUAAUCAGG